RNAcentral lists this ribosomal RNA (253 nucleotides) under uncultured bacterium. RNAcentral describes it as "partial 16S ribosomal RNA". It matches the Rfam family "Bacterial small subunit ribosomal RNA", at positions 524 to 776 of the family's 1533-position model. The record is from RNAcentral.
GACGAACCGUGCGAACGUUGUUCGGAAUCACUGGGCUUAAAGGGAGCGUAGGCGGGCUAUCAAGUCUGGGGUGAAAUCCCGCGGCUCAACCGUGGAACUGCCUUAGAUACUGACGGCCUCGAGGGAGAUAGGGGCAUGCGGAACUGUAGGUGGAGCGGUGAAAUGCGUUGAUAUCUGCAGGAACUCCGGUGGCGAAAGCGGCGUGCUGGAUCGCUUCUGACGCUGAGGCUCGAAAGCUAGGGGAGCAAACGGG